GCGGGUGUGGUGUAUAUGGUUCACUGCUGUUGGCAAUAAGAAUGGGAUAGUUCAGGUUAACAGCAGAACCGGGCUCAACUCCCGGCACCCGCG
Non-coding RNA from Mycena haematopus, 93 nucleotides. Lineage: Eukaryota; Fungi; Basidiomycota; Agaricomycetes; Agaricales; Mycenaceae. The record is from the annotation of a GenBank genome assembly.